GGUUAAGCGACUAAGCGUACACGGUGGAUGCCCUGGCAGUCAGAGGCGAUGAAGGACGUGCUAAUCUGCGAAAAGCGUCGGUAAGGUGAUAUGAACCGUUAUAACCGGCGAUGUCCGAAUGGGGAAACCCAGUGCAAUUCGUUGCACUAUCGUUAACUGAAUACAUAGGUUAACGAGGCGAACCGGGGGAACUGAAACAUCUAAGUACCCCGAGGAAAAGAAAUCAACCGAGAUUCCCCCAGUAGCGGCGAGCGAACGGGGAGCAGCCCAGAGUCUGAAUCAGCUUGUGUGUUAGUGGAACGGUCUGGAAAGUCCGACGGUACAGGGUGAUAGUCCCGUACACCAAAAUGCACAGGCUGUGAACUCGAAGAGUAGGGCGGGACACGUGGUAUCCUGUCUGAAUAUGGGGGGACCAUCCUCCAAGGCUAAAUACUCCUGACUGACCGAUAGUGAACCAGUACCGUGAGGGAAAGGCGAAAAGAACCCCGGCGAGGGGAGUGAAAAAGAACCUGAAACCGUGUACGUACAAGCAGUGGGAGCACCUUCGGGUGUGACUGCGUACCUUUUGUAUAAUGGGUCAGCGACUUAUAUUCUGUAGCAAGGUUAACCGUAUAGGGGAGCCGCAGGGAAACCGAGUCUUAACUGGGCGUUAAGUUGCAGGGUAUAGACCCGAAACCCGGUGAUCUAGCCAUGGGCAGGUUGAAGGUUGGGUAACACUAACUGGAGGACCGAACCGACUAAUGUUGAAAAAUUAGCGGAUGACUUGUGGCUGGGGGUGAAAGGCCAAUCAAACCGGGAGAUAGCUGGUUCUCCCCGAAAGCUAUUUAGGUAGCGCCUCGUGAACUCAUCUUCGGGGGUAGAGCACUGUUUCGGCUAGGGGGUCAUCCCGACUUACCAACCCGAUGCAAACUACGAAUACCGAAGAAUGUUAUCACGGGAGACACACGGCGGGUGCUAACGUCCGUCGUGAAGAGGGAAACAACCCAGACCGCCAGCUAAGGUCCCAAAGUCAUGGUUAAGUGGGAAACGAUGUGGGAAGGCACAGACAGCCAGGAUGUUGGCUUAGAAGCAGCCAUCAUUUAAAGAAAGCGUAAUAGCUCACUGGUCGAGUCGGCCUGCGCGGAAGAUGUAACGGGGCUAAACCAUGCACCGAAGCUGCGGCAGCGACACUAUGUGUUGUUGGGUAGGGGAGCGUUCUGUAAGCCUGCGAAGGUGACCUGUGAGGGUUGCUGGAGGUAUCAGAAGUGCGAAUGCUGACAUAAGUAACGAUAAAGCGGGUGAAAAGCCCGCUCGCCGGAAGACCAAGGGUUCCUGUCCAACGUUAAUCGGGGCAGGGUGAGUCGACCCCUAAGGCGAGGCCGAAAGGCGUAGUCGAUGGGAAACAGGUUAAUAUUCCUGUACUUGGUGUUACUGCGAAGGGGGGACGGAGAAGGCUAUGUUAGCCGGGCGACGGUUGUCCCGGUUUAAGCAUGUAGGCUGAUUGUCCAGGCAAAUCCGGAUAAUCAAGGCUGAGGUGUGAUGACGAGGCACUACGGUGCUGAAGUAACAAAUGCCCUGCUUCCAGGAAAAGCCUCUAAGCAUCAGGUAACAUUAAAUCGUACCCCAAACCGACACAGGUGGUCAGGUAGAGAAUACCAAGGCGCUUGAGAGAACUCGGGUGAAGGAACUAGGCAAAAUGGUGCCGUAACUUCGGGAGAAGGCACGCUGGUGUGUAGGUGAAGUCCCUGCGGAUGGAGCUGAGACCAGUCGAAGAUACCAGCUGGCUGCAACUGUUUAUUAAAAACACAGCACUGUGCAAACACGAAAGUGGACGUAUACGGUGUGACGCCUGCCCGGUGCCGGAAGGUUAAUUGAUGGGGUUAUCCGUAAGGAGAAGCUCUUGAUCGAAGCCCCGGUAAACGGCGGCCGUAACUAUAACGGUCCUAAGGUAGCGAAAUUCCUUGUCGGGUAAGUUCCGACCUGCACGAAUGGCGUAAUGAUGGCCAGGCUGUCUCCACCCGAGACUCAGUGAAAUUGAACUCGCUGUGAAGAUGCAGUGUACCCGCGGCAAGACGGAAAGACCCCGUGAACCUUUACUAUAGCUUGACACUGAACAUUGAGCCUUGAUGUGUAGGAUAGGUGGGAGGCUUUGAAGCGUGGACGCCAGUCUGCGUGGAGCCAACCUUGAAAUACCACCCUUUAAUGUUUGAUGUUCUAACGUUGGCCCCUGACCGGGGUUGCGGACAGUGUCUGGUGGGUAGUUUGACUGGGGCGGUCUCCUCCCAAAGCGUAACGGAGGAGCACGAAGGUUAGCUAAUCCUGGUCGGACAUCAGGAGGUUAGUGCAAUGGCAUAAGCUAGCUUGACUGCGAGCGUGACGGCGCGAGCAGGUGCGAAAGCAGGUCAUAGUGAUCCGGUGGUUCUGAAUGGAAGGGCCAUCGCUCAACGGAUAAAAGGUACUCCGGGGAUAACAGGCUGAUACCGCCCAAGAGUUCAUAUCGACGGCGGUGUUUGGCACCUCGAUGUCGGCUCAUCACAUCCUGGGGCUGAAGUAGGUCCCAAGGGUAUGGCUGUUCGCCAUUUAAAGUGGUACGCGAGCUGGGUUUAGAACGUCGUGAGACAGUUCGGUCCCUAUCUGCCGUGGGCGCUGGAGAAUUGAGGGGGGCUGCUCCUAGUACGAGAGGACCGGAGUGGACGCAUCACUGGUGUUCGGGUUGUCAUGCCAAUGGCACUGCCCGGUAGCUAAAUGCGGAAGAGAUAAGUGCUGAAAGCAUCUAAGCACGAAACUUGCCCCGAGAUGAGUUCUCCCUGAGACUUUAAGUCUCCUGAAGGAACGUUAAAGACGAUGACGUUGAUAGGCCGGGUGUGUAAGCGCAGCGAUGCGUUGAGCUAACCGGUACUAAUGAACCGUGAGGCUUAACCUU
This 2902-nucleotide ribosomal RNA is filed under the name Klebsiella pneumoniae. Its description in RNAcentral is "23S ribosomal RNA". It matches the Rfam family "Bacterial large subunit ribosomal RNA". The record is from RNAcentral. Lineage: Bacteria; Pseudomonadati; Pseudomonadota; Gammaproteobacteria; Enterobacterales; Enterobacteriaceae.